This 450-nucleotide ribosomal RNA is filed under the name uncultured bacterium. RNAcentral describes it as "partial 16S ribosomal RNA". It matches the Rfam family "Bacterial small subunit ribosomal RNA", at positions 338 to 795 of the family's 1533-position model. The record is from RNAcentral.
CCUAGGAGGCUGCAGUCGAGGAUCUUCGGCAAUGGGCGCAAGCCUGACCGAGCGACGCCGCGUGCGGGAUGAAGGCCUUCGGGUUGUAAACCGCUGUCAGGGGGGAUGAAAUCAUGGUGGGUACUCCCAUCAUGUUGACAGAGCCCCAGAGGAAGCGCGGGCUAAGUUCGUGCCAGCAGCCGCGGUAAUACGAACUGCGCGAACGUUAUUCGGAAUCACGGGGCUUACAGGGUGCGUGGGUGGCAGGUAAGAAAUGCCUUGGCUCAACCAAGGCAAAGCGCUCUAAACUACUUUGCUUGAGUGAGUCAGGGGUGCACGGAACUUCCGGUGGAGCGGUGAAAUGUGUUGAUAUCGGAAGGAACACCGGCGGCGAAAGCGGUGCACUGGGGCUUAACUGACACUGAGGCACGAAAGCCAGGGGAGCGAACGGGAUUAGAUACCCUAGUAGUC